RNAcentral lists this ribosomal RNA (274 nucleotides) under uncultured bacterium. RNAcentral's name for it is "partial 16S ribosomal RNA". It matches the Rfam family "Bacterial small subunit ribosomal RNA", at positions 523 to 796 of the family's 1533-position model. The record is from RNAcentral.
AUACAGAGGGUGCAAGCGUUAAUCGGAAUUACUGGGCGUAAAGCGCGCGUAGGUGGUUAGUUAAGUUGGAUGUGAAAGCCCUGGGCUCAACCUGGGAAUGGCAUUCAAAACUGGCUGACUAGAGUAUGGUAGAGGGAAGGGGAAUUCCAGGUGUAGCGGUGAAAUGCGUAGAUAUCUGGAGGAACAUCAGUGGCGAAGGCGCCUUCCUGGACUAAUACUGACACUGAGGUGCGAAAGCGUGGGUAGCAAACAGGAUUAGAAACCCCAGUAGUCC